RNAcentral lists this ribosomal RNA (253 nucleotides) under uncultured bacterium. Its description in RNAcentral is "partial 16S ribosomal RNA". It matches the Rfam family "Bacterial small subunit ribosomal RNA", at positions 524 to 776 of the family's 1533-position model. The record is from RNAcentral.
UACGUAGGAGGCAAGCGUUGUCCGGAAUCACUGGGCGUAAAGCGCGUGUAGGCGGAUGUCUAAGUCUGUCGUGAAAGCGCCUGGCUUAACCGGGCGAGGUCGAUGGAAACUAGGCGUCUAGAGGCCGGUAGAGGGGGGUGGAAUUCCGGGUGUAGUGGUGAAAUGCGUAGAGAUCCGGAGGAACACCAGUGGCGAAGGCGGCCCCCUGGGCCGCGCCUGACGCUGAGACGCGAAAGCGCGGGGAGCGAACGGG